Molecule: non-coding RNA, 23 nt
Filed under: Arabidopsis thaliana (thale cress)
Lineage: Eukaryota; Viridiplantae; Streptophyta; Magnoliopsida; Brassicales; Brassicaceae
Source: RNAcentral
AGACGAGGGUUAUGUUCUUCUGC